Molecule: ribosomal RNA, 245 nt
Filed under: uncultured bacterium
Lineage: Bacteria
Description: partial 16S ribosomal RNA
Rfam family: Bacterial small subunit ribosomal RNA
Source: RNAcentral
CCGCGAGGUGGAGCAAAUCCCUAAAAGCCAUCCCAGUUCGGAUUGCAGGCUGCAACCCGCCUGUAUGAAGUUGGAAUCGCUAGUAAUCGCGGAUCAGCAUGCCGCGGUGAAUACGUUCCCGGGCCUUGUACACACCGCCCGUCACACCAUGAGAGUCGGGAACACCCGAAGUCCGUAGCCUAACCGCAAGGGGGGCGCGGCCGAAGGUGGGUUCGAUAAUUGGGGUGAAGUCGUAACAAGGUACC